GAUGAACGCUGGCGGCGUGCCUAAUACAUGCAAGUCGAGCGAACAGAUGAGGAGCUUGCUCCUCUGACGUUAGCGGCGGACGGGUGAGUAACACGUGGAUAACCUACCUAUAAGACUGGGAUAACUUCGGGAAACCGGAGCUAAUACCGGAUAAUAUAUUGAACCGCAUGGUUCAAUAGUGAAAGACGGUUUUGCUGUCACUUAUAGAUGGAUCCGCGCCGCAUUAGCUAGUUGGUAAGGUAACGGCUUACCAAGGCAACGAUGCGUAGCCGACCUGAGAGGGUGAUCGGCCACACUGGAACUGAGACACGGUCCAGACUCCUACGGGAGGCAGCAGUAGGGAAUCUUCCGGAGUGGGCGAAAGCCUGACGGAGCAACGCCGCGUGAGUGAUGAAGGUCUUCGGAUCGUAAAACUCUGUUAUUAGGGAAGAACAAAUGUGUAAGUAACUAUGCACGUCUUGACGGUACCUAAUCAGAAAGCCACGGCUAACUACGU
RNAcentral lists this ribosomal RNA (496 nucleotides) under uncultured bacterium. Its description in RNAcentral is "partial 16S ribosomal RNA". It matches the Rfam family "Bacterial small subunit ribosomal RNA", at positions 28 to 506 of the family's 1533-position model. The record is from RNAcentral.